AUUGAACGCUGGCGGCAGGCCUAACACAUGCAAGUCGAGCGGAUGAAGGGAGCUUGCUCCUGGAUUCAGCGGCGGACGGGUGAGUAAUGCCUAGGAAUCUGCCUGGUAGUGGGGGAUAACGUCCGGAAACGGGCGCUAAUACCGCAUACGUCCUGAGGGAGAAAGUGGGGGAUCUUCGGACCUCACGCUAUCAGAUGAGCCUAGGUCGGAUUAGCUAGUUGGUGGGGUAAAGGCCUACCAAGGCGACGAUCCGUAACUGGUCUGAGAGGAUGAUCAGUCACACUGGAACUGUAACACGGUCCAGACUCCUAAGGGAGGCAGCAGUGGGGAAUAUUGGACAAUGGGCGAAAGCCUGAUCCAGCCAUGCCGCGUGUGUGAAGAAGGUCUUCGGAUUGUAAAGCACUUUAAGUUGGGAGGAAGGGCAGUAAGUUAAUACCUUGCUGUUUUGACGUUACCAACAGAAUAAGCACCGGCUAACUUCGUG
This 484-nucleotide ribosomal RNA is filed under the name uncultured bacterium. Its description in RNAcentral is "partial 16S ribosomal RNA". It matches the Rfam family "Bacterial small subunit ribosomal RNA", at positions 30 to 507 of the family's 1533-position model. The record is from RNAcentral.